AUGGCCGGCGACGGCGACCUCGCCCCCCGACGCCUCCGCCAGCAAGUCGCCCUCGCCUCCGACCACGACUUCGCCUUCCAACUCCAGCUCAACGAGGCCAUCCAAGCUUCCCUCCGCGUCCCUACUCCCAACCGGCCCUCUUCCAGCGCCGCCGCCGCCGCCUCCUGCUCCUGCCGCUUAUGUCAACCCGCCCCUCCGCUCUGGUCCUCCGAAGCCGCCGAACUUGCGCGCCAAGAGAAGAACCGCCGCGACGCGCAGGCCUUCCGCGCCGCCCACGCCCAGGCAAACACCUCUGCCCGCGUCGCCUCCCGCGGCGCCCUCUUGGCGCGCGAGCUCGCCGACACUCCAGAUCGCCGACGGGCCCACGGCGGAGACCACUUCGAGCGACCUCUGGAUCCAAGCCGCGCCCCUCUCUUCCGCGUCUUCUACAAGGGAUUGUCGAACAAGGAGGGCGCGGGGAGGUGGGGCGUCCCGGACCCCCGCGACGCGGUGCUCGCGGUGGCCGUGUACGAUCCCCGGGGGAAGGUGGUGCGCACCACACAGAAGCGCGUGGAAAGUUUCGAGGGCGGGCGCAUGGAGCUCGAGGUGCUGGCGCUCAUGGAAGGCAUCCACGCUGCGCUCGAGCUGGGGAUACGAUGGGUCAACAUUGUCUCCGACUUCAAGGCGCUGCACAAAUAUGUAUGCCUUAAUGAAACCUCUAGAUCUGUGCAUCUGUCGUCUAUCUUAAUGCAGUACUUCUUACACGGCAAAUAG
RNAcentral lists this ribosomal RNA (753 nucleotides) under Triticum aestivum (bread wheat). RNAcentral's name for it is "partial small subunit ribosomal RNA". The record is from RNAcentral. Lineage: Eukaryota; Viridiplantae; Streptophyta; Magnoliopsida; Poales; Poaceae.